Small nucleolar RNA from Eurytemora carolleeae, 206 nucleotides. RefSeq annotates it as small nucleolar RNA U3. The transcript has a single exon. NCBI's taxonomy places the organism in Eukaryota, Metazoa, Arthropoda, Copepoda, Calanoida, Temoridae. The record is from RefSeq and is a predicted model, not a curated record.
AAGAUUAUACUUCACAGGAUCAUUUCUGUAGUAUGAUUGACAAGUUUCCUGUCUGAAACUUGAAACCUUACUGAUCCAUGAUGAUGAGACACAUGGCAUGUUCAGAGGGUGAUUAAGUUACUUUUUCGCCCUGUUGUAGGGCGAUAAAGUAACUUUUUCGCCCUGUUGUAGGGCGAUAAAGUAACUUUUUCGCCCUGUUGUAGGGC